This is a long non-coding RNA of Acanthopagrus latus (yellowfin seabream), 656 nucleotides long. RefSeq lists it as uncharacterized. The transcript has 6 exons. NCBI's taxonomy places the organism in Eukaryota, Metazoa, Chordata, Actinopteri, Spariformes, Sparidae. The record is from RefSeq and is a predicted model, not a curated record.
GUGUGUAUGCGUGCGUGUGUGUGUGUGUGUGUAUGAGGGGGUGAGGUGCAAAUGUAUUCCGCUUUUUUUCUGCAAAGGUUGAAACCUGCCCAAGGCUCGCUCACAAAAAUCAACAGCUGUAGGAAUUCAUCAUCGUGUUUGUCUCACGCUGCAUGAUCCAUGAGAACAAUGCAGUGGCAGAAGGCUCCUCUGUGAUCAACAGGAGGUUUGACGUCACGGUGAGGUUGCUAGACAACCACUGAAGAUACCAGGAGGAGGCGUGCUUUUGAACUUUGGAGACAGCCGGGCUAAAGCUGCUUCUGGUCUUUAAGCUGCCAGUGUGCUUCUUCAGAAGCGCUAGUUGGACGACGGUGGAUUGCUGGCUUUCCGAAACCAGCAAUCUGACACUCACACCCACUUCAUGCCACGGCCGUCCAGCUGUGCCGAGCACGCUGAGACGGGUCCGCUGGCUGAAGGCGACGCUGUUGAGAAACACAUCACAGGCGUAGAGACCGCCAUCCUUCCACCCAGGUUCUCACCAUCAACUGUCACGUCCACGUUGAAGGGGAAGGGAGCCCUACUGCUGUCACCCUGCGGGUGCACCAAACAGACGUAAGCCCCGCCGUCACUGAUCUGGAGCAGUGGAAGUUUGGCCACUGUGCCUGUGUUUGGCUUUC